GAAAUGCGAUAAGUAAUGCGAAUUGCAGAAUUUAGUGAAUUAUCGAAUCUUUGAACGUAUAUUGCGCCCGCUAGUAUUCUGGCGGGCAUGCCUGUCUGAGCGUUAUUUCAACCCUCGCACCCGGCUCCUGCCGGGCGCGGUGUUGGAGAUUAGCGUGCCGUCUGACGGCGUGCUGGCUCCGAAAUACAGUGGCGACCACGCCGUAGCCUCCUCUGCGCAGUAACGUAACAGCCUCGCAGGCGGAGAGCGGUGCGGUCACGCCGUAAAACCCCCUUAACUUUAUAAGGUUGACCUCAGAUUAGGUAGGAAUACCCGCUGAACUUAA
This 325-nucleotide unclassified non-coding RNA is filed under the name uncultured fungus. RNAcentral describes it as "sequence contains ITS1". The stretch from base 1 to 105 matches the Rfam family "5.8S ribosomal RNA", at positions 50 to 154 of the family's 154-position model. The record is from RNAcentral. Lineage: Eukaryota; Fungi.